Molecule: ribosomal RNA, 496 nt
Filed under: uncultured bacterium
Lineage: Bacteria
Description: partial 16S ribosomal RNA
Rfam family: Bacterial small subunit ribosomal RNA
Source: RNAcentral
GAUGAACGCUGGCGGCGUGCCUAAUACAUGCAAGUCGAGCGAACAGAUGAGGAGCUUGCUCCUCUGACGUUAGCGGCGGACGGGUGAGUAACACGUGGAUAACCUACCUAUAAGACUGGGAUAACUUCGGGAAACCGGAGCUAAUACCGGAUAAUAUAUUGAACCGCAUGGUUCAAUAGUGAAAGACGGUUUUGCUGUCACUUAUAGAUGGAUCCGCGCCGCAUUAGCUAGUUGGUAAGGUAACGGCUUACCAAGGCAACGAUGCGUAGCCGACCUGAGAGAGUGAGCGGCCACACUGGAACUGAGACACGGUCCAGACUCCUACGGGAGGCAGCAGUAGGGAAUCUUCCGCAAUGGGCGAAAGCCUGACGGAGCAACGCCGCGUGAGUGAUGAAGGUCUUCGGAUCGUAAAACUCUGUUAUUAGGGAAGAACAAAUGUGUAAGUAACUAUGCACGUCUUGACGGUACCUAAUCAGAAAGCCACGGCUAACUACGU